This is a long non-coding RNA of Alosa sapidissima (American shad), 189 nucleotides long. RefSeq lists it as uncharacterized. The record is from RefSeq and is a predicted model, not a curated record. The transcript is spliced from 3 exons. Lineage: Eukaryota; Metazoa; Chordata; Actinopteri; Clupeiformes; Clupeidae.
GCAGAAUGCAAGUUGCCGUCGCCGGCAGUAGGCUACUUCUCUGGAGGACAGGAACGUUUUUGCUUGUCUCACGCUGGGCAUCAUGUGACGAAAGCUCCCUGGAAUCCUGCAUUAUUUCACCCGACAUUUGACUAAUAGGCUACCCAUGUUCAUCAAGCCGACGCGCCCUCCUCCACUCUGACUCCUCGG